This 164-nucleotide ribosomal RNA is filed under the name Dendrobium mutabile. RNAcentral's name for it is "5.8S ribosomal RNA". It matches the Rfam family "5.8S ribosomal RNA". Rfam says of the family: 5.8S ribosomal RNA (5.8S rRNA) is a component of the large subunit of the eukaryotic ribosome. It is transcribed by RNA polymerase I as part of the 45S precursor that also contains 18S and 28S rRNA. Lineage: Eukaryota; Viridiplantae; Streptophyta; Magnoliopsida; Asparagales; Orchidaceae. The record is from RNAcentral.
UACACGACUCUCGGCAAUGGAUAUCUCGGCUCUCGCAUCGAUGAAGAGCGCAGCGAAAUGCGAUACAUGGUGCGAAUUGCAGAAUCCCGCGAACCAUCGAGUCUUUGAACGCAAGUUGCGCCCGAGGCCAUCCGGCCAAGGGCACGUCUGCCUGGGCGUCAAUC